GACGAACCGUGCGAACGUUAUUCGGAAUCACUGGGCUUAAAGCGCGUGUAGGCGGAUGGGGACGUCGGUCGCUGAAAUCCCCCGGCUCAACCGGGGAAGUGGCACCGAAACGCCCCGUCUGGAGGGACGUAGGGGGACCUGGAACUUCCGGUGGAGCGGUGAAAUGCGUUGAGAUCGGAAGGAACGCCCGUGGCGAAAGCGAGGUCCUGGACGUCUUCUGACGCUGAGACGCGAAAGCUAGGGGAGCGAACGGG
Molecule: ribosomal RNA, 254 nt
Filed under: uncultured bacterium
Lineage: Bacteria
Description: partial 16S ribosomal RNA
Rfam family: Bacterial small subunit ribosomal RNA
Source: RNAcentral